AAUUUUGCAAGGAGAGUACACCAAUAUCGCAGCAAUCCAACAAAUCACAAUCCAACAAUUUUUAUCAGGGGACUCGAGAUCUCGGAACAUCGAACAAUUCAAUGGUCAAAAGCUCACCGAUACAAUAACCACCAUCUUAUUACCAGAAUGUAAUCAGAACGUUUAAUUCCUUCGAAGAGACAUGCAUACCGGUCAGCUGGAAUCAACAUAUCAUGGCCAGCACAUACUUCUUGAGAUUGUGGAUGACAAUGGAAUCGGUCGUAGGACAGUAAUGAAGCUUUUUGGUCCACUGAAGAUGGAGACGGCAAGGAUGUGUCGAGUGUAAAUAUGCCAAGGACAAUGACACCCGAUGCUAUACAACUAAAUGAUUCAACUUUAUUAAUUAGGAACUUUAUUUAGCGAUGGCGAAGACAUUUUAUACAUUUGUACAACA
This is a long non-coding RNA of Armigeres subalbatus, 433 nucleotides long. RefSeq lists it as uncharacterized. The transcript is spliced from 2 exons. The record is from RefSeq and is a predicted model, not a curated record. NCBI's taxonomy places the organism in Eukaryota, Metazoa, Arthropoda, Insecta, Diptera, Culicidae.